This 395-nucleotide ribosomal RNA is filed under the name uncultured bacterium. RNAcentral describes it as "partial 16S ribosomal RNA". It matches the Rfam family "Bacterial small subunit ribosomal RNA", at positions 523 to 918 of the family's 1533-position model. The record is from RNAcentral.
AUACGAAGGGGGCUAGCGUUGCUCGGAAUCACUGGGCGUAAAGGGUGCGUAGGCGGGUUUUUAAGUCAGGGGUGAACUCCUGGAGCUCAACUCCAGAACUGCCUUUGAUACUGAAGAUCUUGAGUCCGGGAGAGGUGAGUGGAACUGCGAGUGUAGAGGUGAAAUUCGUAGAUAUUCGCAAGAACACCAGUGGCGAAGGCGGCUCACUGGCCCGCGACGGACGCUGAGGCACGAAUGCGGGGGCAGCAACCGGGAUUAGAUCCCCUGUUUGCCAACGCCGUAAAGGAUGAAUGCCAGCCGUUAGUGGGUUUACUCACUAGUGGCGCAGCUAACGCUAUAAGCAUUCAGCCUGGGGAGUACGGUCGCAAGAUUAAAACUCAAAUGAAUUGGCGGGG